UGAAGUACAUUACUUUAAAAUGGUUGCUCAGC
RNAcentral lists this non-coding RNA (32 nucleotides) under Homo sapiens (human). The record is from RNAcentral. Lineage: Eukaryota; Metazoa; Chordata; Mammalia; Primates; Hominidae.